Molecule: long non-coding RNA, 1572 nt
Organism: Phasianus colchicus (ring-necked pheasant)
Lineage: Eukaryota; Metazoa; Chordata; Aves; Galliformes; Phasianidae
Source: Ensembl
CUGGGCCAGAAGCACUGGGAAAUCUCUGGCUGCAGUUUCCUACUCCAUCACUUCGAGGAUUUCAAGCUGAAGGAGAUUCAGACCGGAUAUAAGGAAGAAGUUUUUUUUUUACAAUAAGGGUAGUGAGGCUCUGGCACAGGUUGCUGUAUGGUAACUGCUGAGUCAUGGCCUGAACCACUGAUUGAGCACCUGGGAAAGGACCCAGUCAGCCCUGGGAGCACAGGUGAAGGCAAUUCAGCUGUGUGACAGGAAGGGUGGAGCCUGGCUGCACCUCUCUUAGACCUCAUUUAAGGGCUGAUGGCCACAGGGGAAGGACCUCUGGUUGGAGGUCCCUCCCUUGUGGAUUUCUCCUUGUGAGCCUAGAUCUUCAGAGACAGGGAGGUGGGAUCAGAUGGCCUUUAAGGGUUCCUUUCAGCUCAAAUGAUCAUCAGCAAGAUGGAGGUGAUACAGAAGGAAACUGCCUUUUGCCCCUUCUGAGGGUGCACUUACAAUCUGAGCUGACAAGCUACAGCUGGUGCAGAAAUACUCUGGAUCUUGCUGACUGGCCUCCCCUGACUCAGCAUUGGAACUAAGGGCAAGUUGAGUCAACUUUUUAAAAGAGCCAGAGCAAAGUGUGUGUCUUUUGUGGUCUGAAGUUGUAAGGAAGGAGAAACAUAUCUUGUAAUAGAGAUCUGCUUGGCUGUCCUGUGACAAUGAAUUUAAAAAGAAAGAUUGCUUGGUCCAAUCAAGCAAGAAAUCUUCUGCAUUUUCCCAGAAUGUUUUUUUCAUGACUUGGUUAGCCCUACAAUUAACCCCAGGCCAAGCAUCAGAAGCUCUGUUCACUAGAGGAGGAGGAACGUGGGAUAUUGCUUAUUUGAUUCUCAGAGAGAAAAAAGGCCAAGUGACAGAUGUGCUGAAAUGAGCAUCCUGCUUUUAGAUUUAAGGGAAUGAUGGUGCAAUGGGGUAGGCCUGAACCAGACCAUCAGAAGUUGCGGGCAAGUUAGAGGAAAACAACAAUGAAAAAAAGUUAGCAGAAAACUGUUUUCCAUCACAGAGGAUGUCAGAAAGAGGAAGAUGAAGGAUAAGUUUUGAAGCAGAAGUAGUUCUGUGUUGGAAGCAGGAACUAUCAGGCACAGCUUGCAGCAUCUGGUCCAUGCCUGUAUUUUAAUUGCAGCCAAUGGUAUUUUAAGCAGGUUGAUAUAGAUAUAAUCAAGACUGUGAUCUGGCAAUGUGCAUGUUUGCUGUAUGGAAGGCAAUCCAACUCUUGUGCUGUGUGUCAGGGGAAUAACUGGCUCCAUCAAGUAGAACAUCCUCCAAGAAUCAUUGCUGCUUUGACCUUCAUGGGUCAUUGCUCAUCAGUUAGGACUUAGUAAGGUUUUAAGAACAUGAGAAUUUUUAAGGUAACCUGCUUCUGAAAAGGCAGUAGCAACAAAAAAAGCCGAAGAUGUGCGAUUCUCUCUACAGCGCUGGAAAUGCAGAUUUCAGCUGGGGCAGCCUCUGGCAUGAGAUGUGCUAAACAGGGCCAAAGGGGAAACGGGUCAUGCUGUGUGAAAGGAAACACACAGUAGAAGCAAUGUAUACUGCACUUGAUUU